RNAcentral lists this ribosomal RNA (253 nucleotides) under uncultured bacterium. Its description in RNAcentral is "partial 16S ribosomal RNA". It matches the Rfam family "Bacterial small subunit ribosomal RNA", at positions 524 to 776 of the family's 1533-position model. The record is from RNAcentral.
UACGGAGGGUGCAAGCGUUGUUCGGAAUCAUUGGGCGUAAAGCGCGUGUAGGCGGCUUGGCAAGUCAGUUGUGAAAGCCCGGGGCCCAACCCCGGAAUUGCAUCUGAAACUGCCUAGCUAGAGUCCCGGAGAGGAAGGCAGAAUUCCCGGUGUAGGGGUGAAAUCCGUAGAUAUCGGGAGGAAUACCAGCGGCGAAGGCGGCCUUCUGGACGGUGACUGACGCUGAGACGCGAAAGCGUGGGGAGCAAACAGG